CAGGACACUAGCGUAGGCUUCGUCUUCCCCACCAUCUCUUCUUAUUCCCCCAAGCUCAUCCAUGGCCACCUCCCCGCCAUCUCCCUCAGCACACGCCAAGCUCCCCUCCGAUCUGUUCAGAGCAGGGAGUAGCAGCUCCCAUUCCCCAGCAACAUCUUCCUCAUCGACGCCCCCUGCUCGGAGCCUCCCAUGGCACAAUCACCCAUGGUCGAGGUUCCCCCUGCUUGGCCUCGCUUCCGUGGGCGCUAGCAGCAGAAGCUCCCAAGCACAGAGUCGUUCUUCCCCAAGGUGCGGGCGCCAUUUCUUCCAUGGCCGAGCUCACCACCUGCUAGGACAAGCCGGACCCCUCUGCUCCUCCAUGGCUGUGAGCUCGACGUCCCCUUCUUCCUCCUCUGAUGGGCAGCUCGGCUCCCUCUGCUCCAUUCCCCCACUCGGCACCCAACUUUCUGCAGGAGCUUGCCAACGCUCUCCUCCCCCCACUCAGCACUCCAUGGUCAGAUCCUCGUCUCCCCCAUCAACGCUAGGUAUUUGAACCUGCACCCUGUCAACAUCCCCAGGGCAAAGACUCGAUGCCCCCUUCUCUGUCCCUACUCCUCCCUCUAUGGAUAUUCCCAUGGCGCAGUUCCCUAGCCGGCUUCCUGCCUCCGCAGCCGCAACAACUCCUCAGUGGCGCGUGCUCCACCUUGUUGCGUCGUGGUGCCCGUCGUGCUCCUUCGGCUUCGCUCUGCUCUCCGGUACACGUUGGCACGUUCAUCUCCACGCCAUGUGUGCAGUGAUAUCGACCGAGUUGUUUAUGGACCGAGAGAUGACGAUCGAGCAAGUGAUGUGAUGCCAACCACAAGAGGCAAUUGGUGGACGGUCUGAAGAAUAAUAGACUUAACCAGUGGAUACUUGCCAAACGAGUAUCCCUAGCAAACACUAUCUAGUGUUGAAUUCCAGGCAAGCCUCGGUUUUAUGCAUAACCGUUU
RNA transcript from Zea mays, 968 nucleotides. It is a transcript of the gene named protein-like pseudogene, with no coding region annotated. The record is from RefSeq and is marked validated. Lineage: Eukaryota; Viridiplantae; Streptophyta; Magnoliopsida; Poales; Poaceae. The transcript is spliced from 3 exons.